UACAACUCUGAGCGGUGGAUCACUCGGCUCGUGUGUCGAUGAAGAGCGCAGCCAACUGUGUGAAUUAAUGUGAACUGCAUACUGCUUUGAACAUCGACAYUUC
This 103-nucleotide ribosomal RNA is filed under the name Digenea fam. C sp. WEL.CV.1. RNAcentral describes it as "partial 5.8S ribosomal RNA". It matches the Rfam family "5.8S ribosomal RNA", at positions 1 to 101 of the family's 154-position model. Rfam says of the family: 5.8S ribosomal RNA (5.8S rRNA) is a component of the large subunit of the eukaryotic ribosome. It is transcribed by RNA polymerase I as part of the 45S precursor that also contains 18S and 28S rRNA. Functionally, it is thought that 5.8S rRNA may be involved in ribosome translocation. Lineage: Eukaryota; Metazoa; Platyhelminthes; Trematoda. The record is from RNAcentral.